Long non-coding RNA from Ziziphus jujuba (common jujube), 6644 nucleotides. RefSeq lists it as uncharacterized. The transcript is spliced from 3 exons. Lineage: Eukaryota; Viridiplantae; Streptophyta; Magnoliopsida; Rosales; Rhamnaceae. The record is from RefSeq and is a predicted model, not a curated record.
CAAUUGUUAGGAGCUGCUGCCGGCGAAAUAUAUUUCCCUCGGUAAAUAUUUGGAUUUGUUUGCCGACAAUCUUAACAAAUUCCUCGGCAAUGGAAAAAAUUCCCCCCCGCCCCCCACAUCUCGCCUCACAGACCCGCCAGUGACACGGAAAAAUAAUUAAAAAACAGUACUUUCCCUCUUUUUUCUCUCCAUCUCCGUUGCAUCUCCUUCUCCUUUCCCUCUGUUUUUUUUUUUCUUCUGUCAAAAUCCACCGCAAACCCACUUUCUCCCUUGAAUCAAAUCAGCUGCUCAUCUCGAAAGGUUGCCGAUCGAUCUGCUAGUUGCCGUUCCGUUCUCGUUGUUGCCAUUCUGGUCCCGAUUGGGUUGUAGCCGUUUUGCAGGAGGCAUGGAAUUGAAAACCAACAUUGACUUGAAAUGCAAUUGCGAGGAGUGGGUCCUAAAGACUUUGUGGUAUAUGCAUCAAUUGAAUUAAUGUAGUCAACUCCUACUUCUAAAGUAUAUGUUUGCUGCCUAUUUUUUUCUAUUGAAGUUUGUUACGUUCCAAUAGUUCUGAUUUGAUCCAGUAAUGUCGUCAAACAAACAUGUGAAAGUAACUUGCUGACAGUUGUCUUGACUUCAUCCAUAAAAUAGUAUGUUAAAUGUGGGAUGUAGUGGAGGAAGAUUAUUAGAAUGGGCAUGCUGGCAGUUUCAUUGGCCUCAUGUAUUAUUGUUUAUGAGCAUCAAAGUGUCAAUAAAUAUUAUUCUUUAUAAGAGUUUCAUUGGACUAGGAUGGUUAGCAUAUUUGCUGACAAUCAGAAAAGAUGUUCUCAUUAGGAGCACUGAUACAUAAUAAUGAAUUACACGAUGACUGCAUCUGUAGCAGAGCAUUCAUGAACUGCUACUUACUGUGCCCAUAUGGCAGCAUUUUCUAAUACUUGCAAGGUCCCCAACGAAGGGUCUUGAUUGUCUCUUUGCUUCCCUCCCAUCAUGUCAUCUAUUUAAUUAAAAAAGAUAGAUUUGUCAUCAUGAUUCUCGUUUUAUUGUAAAUAUAUAUUUCUACCUACAUAUAAGACAACUUAUCCAUUUGGUAUGUAUGGGAGUUGGAUCUAUGUCAAUUAAUGAUUGACAAUUAAUGAUUGGUCAUUGUUGAAUUUGUCUUAUUCUACCUCUGUUUUUAUCUCCUGCUGCUGGUACUAUUUUCUCUCAACUAUUGUUGUCUGCCAUUUGCCACGGCUGUCAUUGUGCAUGCUACUCUCUAUGCCUUUUUGAAAUUCAGACUUGAUUAUGUAAGUUAGGUUUAAGCCGAAAUUUAAAAUACCCCUGUCUUGAAUGAUAAUGUGUAUAUGUAUGAUAUUAUACAGUUGAUGCUUAUGAUGAGGUGUAUGUAUGCAUGGCUAGAUGUGAUUAUUGUUCCUACUAACUGUUAUGUCUUAUUUAAAUUUGUUUAGGCACCAUCUCGAAUUGUAGAAGCAAGUGCAAAAGCAUUAAAAUUGACGGAUGCACUUUUAAUUAUUUCCGACCAAAACUGAUUCGUCACUAAAAUGUUUGCCGAUGAAAUCUUCUUGACGGCAAAGCCAUAAGUACCGACGAAAAUAAAUUCGUCGCUAAAACAACCUUCACUGACGAAUCAAUUUUGUUGGCAUUUCAAUUAUUGCCGAUGCAGUCUUGUUGUCGCUAGAGACCUUUUCCGACUAAUAUAUUAUUAUCGGCAAAAGUUAUUUCCGAGGAAAUUAGUUUUGUCACCAAAAUAUUUUACCGAGGAUUUUUUAUUUGUCGCAAAUAGUUAUUAGUGAGGAAAAUAAAUUUUUGUCAGCAAAAGUUUUUAUCGACGAAACAAAAUAUUUCAUUGGUAAAUACAAUUCAGAUGCUGUAUAGGCGAUGAAUCCAUCGAUGAAGUUAAUUUCGUCGGUAAAACAUUUACCGACAAAUUUUUGAUUUUUCCCGGCAGUAACGUUUUAUCGGCAAAAGGCGAUUUUCUUGUAGUGAUGGCAUAUGGAAGCUGAUUUGGAGCUCAAACAAGCUGAAAAUUGGUCAAAGAUACCUUAGUAGUCAAAUUAGUCAACUAGUUUCCUAAUUUGAUUUUGACUUUUUGUUUUAGGAAAUCAGUUUUAUAUUUGAUUUCUAUUUAUUUAUUUUCUGGAUAGAUUAACUUAGGAAAAUUAUUAUUUUAUUAUUUUCAUUAUAAAUUAAUUAAUUUCUAAUUCAAAAUAAAGAAAUUAAUUAAUCCAAAUUAGUUUAGGAAAGCAGGUGAAUUUCAGCCAACAUGUUUCUUUCUCUUAGGUGGCCGAUUUUAACGUAAAUUUUUAAGGUUUAUUGUUUUGUGAUUCUAGCAUAUUUAAGGGCUUAUUUUUUAGAAAGAAUACACCUUCAAUAAUAUUCAGAAAUUAUUUUGUGAGAUAGAAUUCUCUUCAUUCUCUUUGAACACCUAAAACACUAUUAGAGAAUGUGUGUUUUAGUUUUAACUUAUCAAUAAGGCAUCCAUAACCUAUUGUGACGUCUUCAUUAUAUUAAGGUUUCUAAUCACAGGUUGGUUAGGGGUUAAGGUUUCCAUAAGAAUUUGAACUUAAUUGAGGUCUGAGCUAAUAUAAUACGGGUAUAGGCGUGAGUCGACCUACAUUUGUAUCAUUUGGUACCAGAGCCAAAUUUUGUUCAGGUUUGAUCUAUCUUUAUUUGUUUUAUUUUUUUUUUGUUAUUAUGCUAUUUUAGCUUUAGGUUAAGGUUGUUUCUAUCAUCAUAUACGUUUUGCAUCUUAAAAAAAAAUAUUUUAUUUCUAGUCAAAUUAUGUUUUCCUUGUUUUACCAUAUUUUUGCUUCCUAGUUUGUUGGUUGAUUUUUCAUCUUUGUUCUUAGUAAUUUAGUUUAUUGUUGAUUUUUCUUUGCUAUUUUGAUCUUAAAUAUUUGCAUUUACAUAUCCAAAAAAAAAAAAAAAAGAGGAAUUACGGCAACAUAUAUAAAUUUACAAAAAUUGCAAAUUUGUAUUUUGUUUUUGGUGGUCACGGGUUUGGUGGCAUCUUGGUGUUGGAUUUGCAAUUUUGUUGUUAAUUCUUGCUACUGUAGUUGAGUUCAUAUCUGUGAGUAAAAAAAAAAAAAAAGCCGAAUAUUAAAAAAAAAAAAAUUAGUUUGUUGAAAUUUGGAGUUGAAUUUGGUUGCUUGAAAUUUGUUGGAGCUGCUGAGUUGUUGCUUAUUUAUUCAAUAUUUGAAGUUGUUGGAAAUUCAAUUUUUCUGCUGGAUAUUUGUAUUUUUGAGUGCAAAAUUAUUUGGAUUAAAAUUAGUUAAAGAAUUGGAUACAAAACUUGAAUUACAAAAAACAACACCAACAACUAUUCUAUAUUUUUGUUCAAUUUGAUUCUUGUUCGUGUUUGAAUUUCAUUCUCCAUAUUUUAUCCUUGAAUUAUUGGUUCAAUCAUCUUCUGGAUAGCUUUUAUUUCAUUCCAAAAAUUUGCUUGUUGAUUUACCUUGUUUUAGCUUAGAAAAGCCGAGAAUAGGUAUUUUCAUUCCGCUCGGUAUUUGUUUGUUUUAGUUGAUGUUUUGUUGAUAAGUUUAAUUAGAACAUACUUGUGAUCUAGUUGCUGUUUUGUGUGUGUUUUAAUUAGAAUUUUGAGAUAAUUCUUUGAGUAGAAAAAGACAAGAGCGUGUAAGCUUAAAAGAAGGUAAAAGCCGAAACUAGUGUGCAAACACGAGUGUCGAGACUUUAUUUGAGUGAAACAUAUGAGAGAGUGAAUUUGGCGAGGAUUUAUUUUAUUUUUGCAAUAUAUUUACUAACAUGGCAGAUUCAAGGAUGAGAAGAGGAGUAGGAGAUGGCUCAUUAAGAAUUAAUGAAGAGGAAUCCGUAGGAUUCAAGGGUGACUCCCGAGCUACGGGGAGUGUAGAUGAGCGCACAGACAUGAUGGUGGUCUUGGAGCAAUUAUAGUAGAUGAAUGCUUGAUUUGAUCAUAUAGAUCAAAGGAUUGAUAGGUUAGAGAGUUCACAAGUGGGUCGAAUCUUAGGCAAGAGUUUCAUGGUGGCCGAGGUCGAGGUCGAGGAAGUCGUGGACGCCAUAGGGAGGAUUUUGAAGAAGGUAACUUUGGAGAUGAUUUUGAAAAGGAAGUUGAUGAAAUUUUUGCUUACCAAGGAAGGCAAAAUCACGGGAGACCAGCAAGGGAAGAGGAUAAUGAUCUUGGAAAUAUUAAGGUCAACAAACCAUCUUUCAUGGGCAAAAGUGAUCCGGAGGCAUACUUAGAGUGGGAGGAGCGUAUGGAGAUGAUCUUCGAUUAUCACAACUCUCUAAAGACUAAGAAGGUAAAAGUGGUAGCAAUGGAAUUUGGACAUUAUGCACUUCAAUGGUGGACCAAUGAGAAAAAUAUCCGAAGGAGAAUAGGUGAUGAAUUGAUUUCUACUUGGCGACAAAUGAAAGGAGCCAUGAGGAAGCGAUUUGUACCAACUCAUUACCAUAGGUUGCUACAUCAAAGAUUUCAAUCAUUAUCAUAAGGAAAUAGGUCAUUGGAGGAUUAUUACAAAGAGAUGGAGAUACUCAUGAUGAGAUUGAGCAUAAAUGAAGAGAGAGAAGCAACUAUGACAUGGCUUCUAGGUGGGUUGAAUCAUGAGAUAGCUAAUCAAUUGGAAUUGCAACAAUAUGUUGAAUUGGAAGAGAUGUUGCAUGUGGCUAUCAAACUUGAGAAUUAAUUUAAGAGGAGGGUCACAAGUACAUGGUUUAGAGGAGUUUUAAACAGUGGGAGGUUAAAUCCAAGUGCUUGGAGAAGCAAUCCCACCUUGAAGCAAGAAAAAAGCCGAAACUUGGAGAAGAAAGCACCACACGGCUGAAAAUGGAGUCCGAAACCAAAUCUGUCCAAGCACACAAAAGUGAAGGUAAAUUCAAUUCUAAACCUUUUAGAACUUGUGAAAUUGUGUGUUUUAAGUGCCAGGGAUGGAACACAUCGCUAGACAAUACCCGAAUAGAAGAAUUAUGGUGCUAAAAGGUAAUGACGAACUAGAAUCUGCAAGUGAAGAAAGUGAAAGAGAAGCCGAAUUUGAUGAUGAAGUUGAAGAUGAUGGGCAUGAUGAAUCCGAAACACUCAAAGUAUCUAGGGCUGAAUUGAGUUUGGUAACAAGGAGGGUUCUAACAGUAUGCAAAGAUGAUGACCAAAUUUAAAGAGAGAACAUCUUCCACAUCCGACGUGAAAUUCAAGAUAACAUUUGUAGCAUGAUAGUUGGUAGUGGGAGUUAUGCCAAUGUAAUUAGUAAUUUGGUAGUUCAUAAAUUAGGUUUAGCAACCAUUAAACAUCCAGAACAAUAUAGAUUACAAUGGCUUAAUGAUAGUGGUGAGAUGAAAGUAAAUAAAUAAGUGAAAGUAAAAUUCAACAUUGAUAAUUAUGUGGAUGUUGUAUUUUGUGAUGUUGUUCCUAUGCAUGUGGAUCAUAUUUUGUUGGGUAGACCAUGACAAUUUGAUAAAGAUGCUAUACAUUAUAGGAGAGAGAAUUCCAUUGUAUUUAAAUUGAAAGGGAAAAAGGUUAAACUGGAGCCAUUAACCCCAAAAAAAGUAUUUAGAGAUCAACUUCAAAUACAAUAAAGGAAAGAGGCCGAAAAGCUUAAAGAAAAGAUUAAUAUGGCACCCAUAGCUUCAACAAAUAUUCAAGGGAACGAGGCCAUGCAAGAACAACCAGGUAAGUGUCCUAAACUCAAUAGUGAGGGGAAAAACAAUGAUAAAGCUGAGAGUGAGAAGAAACUUGAAAAAGCCGAGAAUGAGAGAAAACAAAUGGAACCAGUAAAUGUGAAAGAAAAAGAGAUUUUUUUUUUAUCUUAGCUUAGGUGAGCUUAAAAAGGCAUUUGUGAGUAAUAAACCUAUGCUAGUUAUGAUUUAUAAAGAUGCUUAGUUAAAGAUGUUUUUGUUAUAUAGAACUUUAUUUGCAUUGUUGAAAGCUUGACUUAGUGGAAAUUUGAAAAUUUAGGAGAGAUUAUUUGUUAACUUUAAAAAGUAUGAUUUUUGUAAAGAUAAAUUGGUAUUUCUAGGAUUUUUUGUUAUAGUGUUUGAUCCAGGAGAUUUGGUUUGGUGCACUUAAGGAAUGAGAGGUUCCCGAACAAAGGAAGUCCAAGCUUAUGCCGCGUGGAGAUGGACUCUUUCAAGUUUUGGAGCGGAUUAAUGAAAAUACUUAAAAACUUGAUUUACCGGGCGAGUAUAAUAUCAGUGCUACAUUUAAUAUUGCUGACUUAUCUCCUUUUACUGUAGGUGAUGAUUUUGAUUUGAGGGUAAAUCAUUUUCAAAAAGAGGGGAAUGAUGAGAAUCCGCCCGCGCCUGCACAACUGAUAACCCGCUGGGGUGCAGAUCCGAUACACAUGAAGAUCGGUUGAAUCACUAGAGCUCAAGCCAAGAGAUUUAAGGACAACCUGGUUGCUAUUAUACAGGGAGUAAUUAAUUCUCAAAAGGGCUUUGUCAAUAUCCAAAUAUACAAAGUCCAUUUUAAGCAUCCAAGUGGCAGAAGUCGUUACGAACCAUGGUAGCUGUUUUAGUGCAAAUAUGGAUUCUGGGUAGCAACGAAUGGAUCCAACACUUCUUGGAUUCAAUGGAUAUCACCAAGAGACCAUAGAAUCAUGUUAAGGUAGAAUCAAAAGUAUCUAAAACCAGCUUGUAUGGACAACAUCUCAAUUUGACCGAAAAUGUGCUAUUUAACUAUUGGCUUUGAUUUUUCUUCU